UAAACAGGUGUGGUACAGUUUUCCUUUGA
RNAcentral lists this non-coding RNA (29 nucleotides) under Homo sapiens (human). The record is from RNAcentral. Lineage: Eukaryota; Metazoa; Chordata; Mammalia; Primates; Hominidae.